RNAcentral lists this ribosomal RNA (231 nucleotides) under uncultured Syntrophorhabdus sp. Its description in RNAcentral is "partial 16S ribosomal RNA". It matches the Rfam family "Bacterial small subunit ribosomal RNA", at positions 1154 to 1382 of the family's 1533-position model. Lineage: Bacteria; Pseudomonadati; Thermodesulfobacteriota; Syntrophorhabdia; Syntrophorhabdales; Syntrophorhabdaceae. The record is from RNAcentral.
GCAGUUAAUGCGGAGGAAGGUGGGGAUGACGUCAAGUCCUCAUGGCCCUUAUAUCCAGGGCUACACACGUGCUACAAUGAGCGGCACAAAAGGGUCGCGGAACCCGCGAGGGGGAGCUAAUCCCACAAAUCCGCUCCUAGUUCGGAUUGGAGUCUGCAACCCGACUCCAUGAAGCUGGAAUCGCUAGUAAUCGCGGAUCAGCAUGCCGCGGUGAAUACGUUCCCGGGCCUU